Molecule: ribosomal RNA, 440 nt
Filed under: uncultured bacterium
Lineage: Bacteria
Description: partial 16S ribosomal RNA
Rfam family: Bacterial small subunit ribosomal RNA
Source: RNAcentral
CCUACGGGAGGCAGCAGUGGGGAAUAUUGCACAAUGGGGGGAACCCUGAUGCAGCGACGCCGCGUGAGUGAAGAAGUAUUUCGGUAUGUAAAGCUUUUUCAGCAGGGAAGCAGAUGACGUUACUUGACUAAGAAGCCCCGGCUAACUACGUGCCACCAGCCGCGGUAAUACGUAGGGGGCAAGCGUUAUCCGGAGUUACUGGGGGGAAAGGGAGCGUAGACGGCAGGGCAAGUCUGGAGUGAAAGCCCGGGGCCCAACCCCGGGCCUGCUUUGGAAACUGGCAUGCUGGAGUGCUGGAGAGGUAAGCGGAAUUCCUAGUGUAGCGGUGAAAUGCUUAGAUAUUAGGAGGAACACCAGUGGCGAAGGCGGCUUACUGGACAGUAACUGACGUUGAGGCUCGAAAGCGUGGGGAGCAAACAGGAUUAGAUACCCCGGUAGUC